Molecule: unclassified non-coding RNA, 217 nt
Filed under: uncultured Thelephoraceae
Lineage: Eukaryota; Fungi; Basidiomycota; Agaricomycetes; Thelephorales; Thelephoraceae
Description: sequence contains ITS2
Source: RNAcentral
ACGCCUCAACUCUCAUGGUCUUCCAUGAUGAGCUUGGACUUUGGGGGUUUGCUGGCCCUGCGGCCGGCUCCUCUCAAAUGAAUCAGCUUGCCAGUGUUUGGUGGCAUCACGGGUGUGAUAACUAUCUACGCUCGCGGUCGUCUGCCAGGUAACCCUCAGCGAUGAGGGUUCAUUGGAGCUCAUAAACGUCUCUCCUCGGCGAGGACAACUUUUGAAC